Molecule: ribosomal RNA, 301 nt
Filed under: uncultured bacterium
Lineage: Bacteria
Description: partial 16S ribosomal RNA
Rfam family: Bacterial small subunit ribosomal RNA
Source: RNAcentral
CAGUAGCCACGGUAAUACAGAGGGUGCGAGCGUUAAUCGGAUUUACUGGGCGUAAAGCGUGCGUAGGCGGCUUCUUAAGUCGGAUGUGAAAUCCCUGAGCUUAACUUAGGAAUUGCAUUCGAUACUGGGAAGCUAGAGUAUGGGAGAGGAUGGUAGAAUUCCAGGUGUAGCGGUGAAAUGCGUAGAGAUCUGGAGGAAUACCGAUGGCGAAGGCAGCCAUCUUGCCUAAUACUGACGCUGAGGUACGAAAGCAUGGGGAGCAAACAGGAUUAGAUACCCCGGUAGUCCCUGUCUCUUAUAC